GACGAACGCUGGCGGCGUGCCUAAUACAUGCAAGUAGAACGCUGAAGAGAGGAGCUUGCUCUUCUUGGAUGAGUUGCGAACGGGUGAGUAACGCGUAGGUAACCUGCCUGGUAGCGGGGGAUAACUAUUGGAAACGAUAGCUAAUACCGCAUAAAAUUGAUUAUUGCAUGAUAAUUAAUUGAAAGAUGCAAUUGCAUCACUACCAGAUGGACCUGCGUUGUAUUAGCUAGUUGAUGAGGUAACGGCUCACCAAGGCGACGAUACAUAGCCGACCUGAGAGGGUGAUCGGCCACACUGGGACUGAGACACGGCCCAGACUCCUACGGGAGGCAGCAGUAGGGAAUCUUCGGCAAUGGGGGGAACCCUGACCGAGCAACGCCGCGUGAGUGAAGAAGGUUUUCGGAUCGUAAAGCUCUGUUGUAAGAGAAGAACGGGUGUGAGAGUGGAAAGUUCACAC
This 457-nucleotide ribosomal RNA is filed under the name Streptococcus sanguinis. RNAcentral's name for it is "bacterial SSU rRNA". It matches the Rfam family "Bacterial small subunit ribosomal RNA", at positions 28 to 469 of the family's 1533-position model. The record is from RNAcentral. Lineage: Bacteria; Bacillati; Bacillota; Bacilli; Lactobacillales; Streptococcaceae.